GAUGAACGCUGGCGGCGUGCUUAACACAUGCAAGUCGAACGGAAAGGCCCAAGCUUGCUUGGGUACUCGAGUGGCGAACGGGUGAGUAACACGUGGGUGAUCUGCCCUGCACUUCGGGAUAAGCCUGGGAAACUGGGUCUAAUACCGGAUAGGACCACUUCUUGGAUGUUGUGGUGGAAAGUUUUUUCGGUGUGGGAUGAGCUCGCGGCCUAUCAGCUUGUUGGUGGGGUAAUGGCCUACCAAGGCGUCGACGGGUAGCCGGCCUGAGAGGGUGUACGGCCACAUUGGGACUGAGAUACGGCCCAGACUCCUACGGGAGGCAGCAGUGGGGAAUAUUGCACAAGGGGCGCAAGCCUGAUGCAGCGACGCCGCGGGGGGGAUGACGGCCUUCGGGUUGUAAACUCCCUUCGCUAGGGACGAAGCGUUUUGUGACGGUACCUGGAGAAGAAGCACCGGCUAACUACGUG
Molecule: ribosomal RNA, 467 nt
Filed under: uncultured bacterium
Lineage: Bacteria
Description: partial 16S ribosomal RNA
Rfam family: Bacterial small subunit ribosomal RNA
Source: RNAcentral